Puma concolor (puma) is the source of this 472-nucleotide non-coding RNA. The record is from RefSeq and is a predicted model, not a curated record. NCBI's taxonomy places the organism in Eukaryota, Metazoa, Chordata, Mammalia, Carnivora, Felidae.
GGACAUUGCACGUGUCUCCUCUUGUAAGACUUUGGCUGCAGAACCCAAGUGUGAACCCUGCUCGAGCUUUAAUGAGCAUCUACUAUAAGCUAAGAAGUGCUGUGGGAGACAAAAAGGAGAGUGAAGUACCCAUUGUAUUCUCAUGGAGAUUGGAGUCUAGAAAGAGGGGUCUGGAGAUCAAAGGGGAGCCUGCAUGUGGGAUCUCUUUGGAAACCCUGAAGCACUCUGUGAAUGAAAAGGGUAAAUUUUUCCUCUCUUCCCUUGUACCAUAAACUCCAUGAGAAUGUUUGACAGGGCCUGUUAUGUUGGUCUUUAAAAUUUUUUGAAGUAUAUAUAUAAAAAAAUCACACUGUAAACCUUAAAUAUUUACCAUUUUUAUUUGCCAAGUAAACAUCAGUAAAGAGGGCUAAGUUUUUUUUUAAAUUUUUUUAACAUUUAUUUAUUUUUGAGACAGAGAGAGACAGAGCAUGAA